ACAGCAGCCGCCGCGGUAAUACGGAGGGUGCAAGCGUUAAUCGGAAUUACUGGGCGUAAAGCGCACGCAGGCGGUCUGACAAGUCAGAUGUGAAAUCCCCGGGCUUAACCUGGGAACUGCAUUUGAAACUGUCAGGCUGGAGUCUUGUAGAGGGGGGUGGAAUUCCAGGUGUAGCGGUGAAAUGCGUAGAGAUCUGGAGGAAUACCGGUGGCUAAGGCGGCCCCCUGGACAAAGACUGACGCUCAGGUGCGAAAGCGUGGGGAGCAAACAGGAUUAGAUACCCGGGUAGUCCCUGUCUCUUAUAA
RNAcentral lists this ribosomal RNA (305 nucleotides) under uncultured bacterium. RNAcentral's name for it is "partial 16S ribosomal RNA". It matches the Rfam family "Bacterial small subunit ribosomal RNA", at positions 508 to 809 of the family's 1533-position model. The record is from RNAcentral.